UACGUAGGGUGCGAGCGUUAAUCGGAAUUACUGGGCGUAAAGCGUGCGCAGGCGGCUCUUUAAGUCAGAUGUGAAAGCCCCGGGCUUAACCUGGGAACUGCGUUUGAAACUGGAGAGCUGGAGUGUGGCAGAGGGAGGUGGAAUUCCACGUGUAGCAGUGAAAUGCGUAGAGAUGUGGAGGAACACCAAUGGCGAAGGCAGCCUCCUGGGUCAACACUGACGCUCAUGCACGAAAGCGUGGGGAGCAAACAGG
RNAcentral lists this ribosomal RNA (253 nucleotides) under uncultured bacterium. Its description in RNAcentral is "partial 16S ribosomal RNA". It matches the Rfam family "Bacterial small subunit ribosomal RNA", at positions 524 to 776 of the family's 1533-position model. The record is from RNAcentral.